CUAGAUUCAAAGCAAAUUUGUCAAGCCCUGCUUUACUUAUUGUUCUUAUGUUUUAGUCACCUGAUGUGACGAGACCAAUCUCGCCACAUUGCAUUGAAGAAGCCUGGUUGAUCGCUUGCUGCCUCUGGACUAUGGCCCCCUGUUAAAAGACUUUGUUUCGCCUGCAGAAAAGCUGUAUUCAUGUGGUCUAAGCGCCAUUCACUUAAUAAUGUGUGCUCAGACCUGGGCUAUCUGGGGAUAUGUUAAAUGUCUAGUUUUAAUGUAAUGUGUCUUACCUGGUGUAUUUUAACAGUAAUGCUUGUUUUAGUAUCCCCAUGUGCAUAAUGAAGAUUUGCCUUUGUCUUGGGAGAUAAUUGAAUUACUUCUCAAUUAUCUCCCAGGGCAGAGGGGUGGAAGCCAGGAUGCAUUGUGGGAAUAUACUGUGACUGUGUGUCCUAUUUGUCUGCUUGUCUGUCCCUUGACACAGUCUCCCAUUUGGUCCCCUAGGGGAGUGUCCACCAGGUGGGAGACCUGCAUAAAUACUGGGCAGGUAGCCCUCAUUAAACAGACCACUGCUUGACCC
This is a non-coding RNA of Pelobates cultripes (western spadefoot toad), 562 nucleotides long. The record is from the annotation of a GenBank genome assembly. NCBI's taxonomy places the organism in Eukaryota, Metazoa, Chordata, Amphibia, Anura, Pelobatidae.